This is a long non-coding RNA of Chrysemys picta bellii (western painted turtle), 1556 nucleotides long. NCBI's taxonomy places the organism in Eukaryota, Metazoa, Chordata, Testudines, Emydidae. The record is from Ensembl.
GCCGGACCCCGUGACGCUAGUGUCUGUGGAACCCGGAGCCAGGGCAGCCAGGGCAGCCCUUCAUUCGCCAUUGAAACCCGCAGCGUGCGGCAGGGAGGGGAGGGGUGUGCUGCACCGCAGAGCGGGGGCGCAUCCGGGUUCCCCCAGGGCAGAACGAAGCUUCACACCGGCAGCAUCCCUCACCAGAGAAACCCCCAGAGUGGCCAGAGACGGCAAUGCCCUGAGAAACCCAGGGGAAGAAUCCACCCCUGUGAAACACAGAGAGAGCAGACAGCAAUCCACCGUGCUCUGUGGCGCCCUGGAGAGGGGCAGGCCAUGGGCUGAGGCAGAGACGGUGCUGGGCAGGACCCCAGCGGAAGGGAAUGGCCGGCGGCAAACGGCCAUUAGAGACUCCAGGACUCCCAAAUCAAUCCUGCUGACACCUGGGGGGAAAGAAGUCAAGAAGGAAGCAGGCCGAGUGACUUUUCUGUCGGACCCUGAGGAAUACACCAUCCCCGCCGAUAGUUGGUCAGCACGUCCUUUCUUGGGCUACGACUGGAUUGCAGGCAAGUCCUAGCCCCACCGCACAACUGUGGUGUUAUUGGGGUGAUCUGGUUGACGGAGGGGCUAAAAUCCCAACUCACCUCCUGUAUGGCGAAGGGUACAGACCGAGGCGCAGGCCCGGGGCUGGAGACUGCGUGCGCUUUGGGACCAGGGCAUAGUGAGCUGUUGCCCCGGUACUGCUGAAAAAUCUGCAAGUUGGGCAGCGUUCUCAGCACAAGAGCUGCAGUUUUGCCAAGCCAGACGCAGUUCCUCAGUCAGUGCAGAGAUGACCUGUGCUUUCCUGGAACGGCAGUGAGGAGACUGGCCAGGAAUCCAUGCAGCUGCGGUGGGGCUGAGAGAAUUCGAGGGGGAGCCCAGAGGAGCAGGAGAUGAACGAAGGAAACAAGGAGGAGAGAUCAUUUCAAGGCUUUUUGUCACAGAAGUCACUGGCCCCUCCGGGUCAGUGGCGCUGCUGGGGUCUCUCCUUCGACAGGCAGUAUCUGCUUGGCAGUUGGCCACGCUGCUCCCUUCGUGUCUGCUGGUCUGAUCAGUCGCCCUCUUUGGCACUCAGCACCCUGGUUAGCUGACCACUUCACGUGAGCUUUCCCAGGUCACCUGCCUCUGAUGCAGUUCCAGCUUUGAAUUUCCUUCUCCGCUUCGCGUUCCCAGGGCUGCUGGAGACGGACUCGUCGUUGUCCGAGAAAUCUGAGCAGUACUUCUCUGAGCUCCGGGAGUUCCGGCAGGUGAACAAGGAAGCGUGUGUCCAUGAGGAAGACCUGGGGUAAGGAGGGGACUAAGGUGGCAGUGAACGCCAGGAACAAGGGAAGAACUGGCAGGGGGUCUGUGGAGCAGGAGACUGUGAGGAUGGCUCAUCCAGCCCAUCAGCAGGUCACCGAGCGUUUGCUCUCUUUCUGGGGAGCAGCUGUUUGCUAUUGAACUAGAGCCAGGUGCAGAGGGUGAACUGUAUCAUUCCCGCAUGGCCAAGAAACCAGGAACGUCUGGGAGCGAUUGCAAUGGAUUUCUGAAUUAGUUCC